AUUGAACGCUGGCGGCAUGCUUUACACAUGCAAGUCGAACGGUAACAGGCCUUCUGGUGCUGACGAGUGGCGUACGGGUGAGUAAUGCAUCGGAACGUACCCAGUGGUUGGGGGUAACGCAGCGUAAGCUGUGCUAAUACUUCAUGUGAUCUGAGUAUUAAAGCGGGGGACCGCGCAGCAAUGUUUGGCCUCGCGCCUUUGGAGCGGCCUAUGUCGGAUUAGCUAGUUGGUGGGGUAAAGGCCUACCACGGCCACGAUCCGUAGAGGGUCUGAGAGGAAGAACAGACAGACGGGGAGUGAGACACGGCACAGACUCCUGAGGGAGGAAGCAGUGGGGAAUUUUGGACAAUGGGCGAGAGCGUGAUACAGCAAUGCCGCGGGAGGGAAGAAGGAGCUAGGGUGGUAAAGCGAUGAUGGCAGGAGCGAAACGAUGUCCGCUAAUACGGGACGAUAAUGACGGUACCGGGAGAAUAAGCACCGGCUAACUACGUG
RNAcentral lists this ribosomal RNA (492 nucleotides) under uncultured bacterium. Its description in RNAcentral is "partial 16S ribosomal RNA". It matches the Rfam family "Bacterial small subunit ribosomal RNA", at positions 29 to 507 of the family's 1533-position model. The record is from RNAcentral.